AGUGAACGCUGGCGGUAGGCCUAACACAUGCAAGUCGAACGGCAGCACAGAGGAGCUUGCUCCUUGGGUGGCGAGUGGCGGACGGGUGAGGAAUACAUCGGAAUCUACUCUGUCGUGGGGGAUAACGUAGGGAAACUUACGCUAAUACCGCAUACGACCUACGGGUGAAAGCAGGGGAUCUUCGGACCUUGCGCGAUUGAGUGAGCCGAUGUCGGAUUAGCUAGUUGGCGGGGUAAAGGCCCACCAAGGCGACGAUCCGUAGCUGGUCUGAGAGGAUGAUCAGCCACACUGGAACUGAGACACGGUCCAGACUCCUACGCGAGGCAGCAGUGGGGAAUAUUGGACAAUGGGCGCAAGCCUGAUCCAGCCAUACCGCGUGGGUGAAGAAGGCCUUCGGGUUGUAAAGCCCUUUUGUUGGGAAAGAAAUCCAUCUGGUUAAUACCCGGGUGGGAUGACGGUACCCAAAGAAUAAGCACCGGCUAACUUCGUGCCAGCAGCCGCCGUAA
RNAcentral lists this ribosomal RNA (506 nucleotides) under uncultured bacterium. RNAcentral describes it as "partial 16S ribosomal RNA". It matches the Rfam family "Bacterial small subunit ribosomal RNA", at positions 29 to 523 of the family's 1533-position model. The record is from RNAcentral.